RNAcentral lists this long non-coding RNA (32724 nucleotides) under Triticum aestivum (bread wheat). RNAcentral's name for it is "long non-coding RNA (TAES_LNC005474)". Lineage: Eukaryota; Viridiplantae; Streptophyta; Magnoliopsida; Poales; Poaceae. The record is from RNAcentral.
GGCAUGCUCUACCUGCAGCCCUGGUCUAACCUGCAGGACGUCACGACGGCGAUGUUCGUCCUCGUCACGCACGCCGACCACCUGGCGGCAGCGAGCGCUUCCCUGCAGUGCGGCGGCGUGAGGCUGCCGCCGGCGCAGCUCGUCUCGUUCGCACGGUCACAGGUGGACUACAUCCUUGGCAAGAACCCAAUGAAGAUGAGCUACAUGGUUGGGGUUGGAAAGAGGUACCCGUUGCAGCCGCACCACCGCGGCGCGUCGCUGCCAUCCAUUAGGAAAUACCCGGGGAAGAUCUCCUGCGGCAAGGGAGCCGAGUACUUCCACAGGUCUGCGCCCAACUUGAAUGUGAUUGACGGCGCCAUCGUCGGAGGGCCUGACAACAACGACCAUUACGACGAUUCUCGGGGAAAUUACCAGCAAGGCGAGCCAUCGACCUACACUGUCGCGCCCAUAGUCGGAGUUCUUGCUAGGCUUCUCCAUAACUGAUGUUCCUGACUUCCUGUUUUCGUCAAGAGAUGUGCAAUGUCAAUGCCAUCCUUGUAAUUUAGCCAGAUAUAACUUUUUUUGGAAAAGGUGGAUUGCCCUCGGUCUAUGCAUCUGGAAGAUGCAUGCAGCCGUAUUAUUAAAAAUGGUUCGUCGAACACAAAGUCUGGUAUCUGAAGUAUAACUCACAUGAGGAGCACAGAAAAACAAAGAUAAAGGAAAAACAAAGCCACAACCGGCUAGAUGCAGUGGACAUCAAGGACCUAUCAUAUUAUGCGACCAUCAUUUAAACCGGUUGAAAAUAGCCCGUGCUACCAUCUCCCAUCGAUUGCACCCAGUAGCCAAAUGCCCCCUUGGAGCCGUAGGAGUGAGUAGCAACCAGGUACGGAUCCAUGCCAUAGCUCUGAAGAUAACUUGCAAGAAGUUUAGAAUAUAUAUUAUAUUAAAAAUCAUAUCGUUUCUGCAAUUCCAUAUAGCCUAUAGGAGUGCGCAUAUUCCAAUCCGAAUAUUUGACGCAGUGUCCGAUGACACUCCAUGUAGCCACGUCCCAAACAACGCUUCUAUGCUAGAUGGAGGUGUUAUAUUAAAAGCUAUAUGGAUUGAUCGCCAAAGUAAAUUUGUGAGAGGGCAAUCAAUGAAUAAAUGUUGUAUUGUUUCAUCCUGAAUACAAAAGCAACACCGUGAACUACCUACCAUCGUCGCUUUAGUAAGUUAUCCUUGGUAAGAAUGACCUGUUUAUGCACAAACCACAUGAAAAUUUUGAUGCACAAAGGCACCUUAACUUUCAUUUAGCCAAUAAAAAACUUACACCGACAACGAUACAUGCAUUGUUUCCUUCCAAACUUUGAAAACAACUUCAACAUCACAAUAGUCCAACAUGACAUUUUAUUCCCUUCCAAAUUUCGAAAGAAAUUUCAUCAUGUAGAUCUUAAGAGAUCUUGUUUACACUAAGAGGUAGAUGCUUCAAGAGCAGGUAGACAUUCCCUUAUCACCUCUGCAGCUUGCUCCAGCUCCUUCUCCGACACGAUGAGCGUAGGCACAAGCCUCACCACAUUGCCUUUCCUGGUCGUCGGCACAAAGACACCCCCAUCCAAGCAGGCAUCGACUAAAGGAGCAGCCGGUACAUCAAGCUCGAUGCCAACAAUGAGACCAGCCCCCCGGAUCUCUCUGACGUGAGGGUGUCCACUCAGCUUAGUUUUGAGCAGCUGCUUGAAGUAUUCUCCUUUCCUAGUCACCUCUGCUAGAUACCCAGGUUUCUGGAUCUUGUCCAAUGUGGCCAAUGUAGCAUGGCACACAAAAGGGCCUCCGCCGAAUGCGGUUCCAUGGUCACCGUAGUUUAUGGCUGCAGCAACCUUUUCCGUGACCAAGGCCACGCCAAUGAGAAGACCAUUGGCCAGUGGCUUCGCCAAGCUCAUUAUGUUAGGUACUACACCAUAAACCUCAUGAGCCCAGAGGUAACAUGUGCGCCCCACACCACAUUGCACCUGCAUUUCAGAUAGUAGAUUAGAUGUCUCCACUUUUUAAACUGACAUAAGUUGAACUUCAAAGUGCAAUCCUAAAUCCCUACAAUUGAAUGAAUUGCCGAUUUGGGUAGUAUUACGAUGUGAUACGUUUCCAACGUAUCUAUAAUUUUUUAUUGUUCCAUGUUGUUAUAUUAUUAAUUUUGGACAUUUUAUAAUCAUUUUGUAGUCAUUGUAUGUCAUUUUUUGGUACUAACUUAUUGACAUAGUGCCAAGUGCAGUUGCUAUUUUUUGCAUGAUUUUACAUCGCAGAAAAUCAAUAUCAAACGGAGUCCAAAUGCAACGAAACUUUACGGAGAUUUUUUAUGGACCAAACGACACCUAAUGGGCCAAGCUACGCCUGGGGGUGCUCCUAGGAGAGCACAACCCACCAGGGCGCGCCAGGAGGCCCAGGCAUGCCCUGGUGGGUUGUGCCCACCUCGGGUGCCCCCCGGACCGCCUCUUUCCUCUAUAAAUACCCCAAUAUUCCAGAAAACCUAGGGGAGUCGACAAAAAUCAAUUCCAGCCACCACAGAGUCUAGAACCACCAAAUCCAAUCUAGACACCAUCACAGAGGGGUUCACCACUUCCAUUGGCGCCUCUCCGAUGAUGCGUGAGUAGUUCUUUGUAGACCUUCGGGUCCGUAGUUAGUAGCUAGAUGGCUUCUUCUCUCUCUUUUGAUUCUCAAUACAAUGGUCUCUUGGAGAUCCAUAUGAUGUAACUCUUUUUACAGUGUGUUUGUGGGGAUCGGAUGAACUUUGAGUUUAUGAUCAGAUCUAUCUUUUUAUAUCCAUGAAGGUUAUUUGAGAUUCUUUGCUCUCUUAUAUCCAUGAUUGCUUAUAGCCUCGUAUUUCUUCUCCGAUAUUUGGGUUUUGUUUGACCAACUUGAUCUAUUUAUCUUGCAUUGGGAAAAGGUGCAUCGUAGUUGGUUCAAUCUUACGGUGCUUGAUCCCAGUGACAGAAAGGGAACCCUGAGGAUGAACUACACCCUCCUCGUCAUGGAUAGCACAAGCGCGCUCGUGAUACAUCAAGAUCAUGCCAAAUCAAGAACACGAGAGAGAGAGAGAGAGAGAGAUCUCAAACACAUAGCUACUGGUACAUACCCUCAACCCUGAGAGUGAAUGUCACGCCCUCGAUGCGGCUAUAUCUCCCAUGUGUCGAAGAACGACUUAGAGGCAUAACCGCGUUGAAAGCAAUGUCGCAACUGAGGUAAUCUUCACACAACCCAUGUAAUACAUAAGGGACAGAGGUACAUAGUUGGCUUACAAUCGCCACUUCACACAAUACAUGAAUAAAGCAUUACAUCAUCCAUAUACAAUCAAGGUCCGACUAUGGAACCAAAAUAAAAGAAGACUACCCCAAAAGCUACACAGAUCCCCGAUCGACCCCAACUGGGCUCCACUACUGAUCAACUAGAACGAAACAACACAAAGGACAAGAUCUUCAUCGAGCUUCUCCUGAGCUUGGUUGCGUCAUCUGCACGGUAACCUCGGCACCUGCAAGCUGGUUUUGGAAGUAUCUGUGAGCCACAGGGACUCAGCAAUCUCACACCCUCGCGAUCAAGACUAUUUAAGCUUAUGGGUAAGGUGAAAGGUAUGAGGUGGAGCUGCAGUAAGCGACUAGCAUAUAUGGUGGCUAACAUACGCAAAUGAGAGUGAGAAGAGAAGGCAAAGCACGGUCGAUAAAAGUAUGGUCAAGAAGUGAUCCUAGAACAACCUACGUCAAGCAUAACUCCAACACCGUGUUCACUUCCCGGACUCCGCUGGAAAGAGACCAUCACGGUUACACACGCGGUUGAUGCAUUUUAAUUAAGGUCAACUUCAGGUUUUCUACAACCGGACGUUAACAAAUUCCCAUCUUCCCAUAACCACGGGCACGGCUUUCGAAAGUUCAAAACCCUGCAGGGGUGUCCCAACUUAGCCCAUCACAAGCUCUCACGGUCAACGAAGGAUAUUCCUUCUAGCGGGAAGACCCGAUCAGACUCGGAAUCCCGGUUACAAGACAUCCUCGACAAUGGUAAAACAAGUCCAGCAAGACCACCCGAUGCGCCGACAUCCCGAUAGGAGCUGCACAUAUCUCGUUCUCAGGGCAACACCGGAUAAGCAAUCCGUACAACUAAAACCAGCCCUCGAGUUUCCCCGAGGUGGCGCUGCAAGGGGCUCUAGUUUGGACCAACACUUAGACAAGCACUGGCCCGGGGGGUUUAAAAUAAAGAUGACCCUUGGGCUGGCAUAACCCAAGGGAAAAAAAGCUCGGUGGCAAAUGGUAAAACCAAUGUUGGGCCUUGCUGGAGGAGUUUUAUUCAAAGCGAACUGUCAAGGGGUUCCCAUUAUAACCCAACCGCGUAAGGAACACAAAAUCCGGGAACAUAACACCGAUAUGACGGAAACUAGGGUGGCAAGAGUGGAACAAAACACUAGGCAUAAGGCCGAGCCUUCCACCCUUUACCAAGUAUAUAGAUGCAUUAAUUAAAUAAGAUAUAUUAUGAUAUCCCAACAAGUAAACAUGUUCCAACAAGGAACAACAUCUCCAUGUUCCAACAAGGAACAAACUUCAAUCUUCACCUGCAACUAACAACGCUAUAAGAGGGGUUGAGCAAAGCAGUAACAUAGGCAAACAACGGUUUGCUAGGACAAGGUGGGUUAGAGGCUUGGUUCAACAAUAUGAGAGGCACGAUAAGCAAGUGGUAGGUAUCGCAGCAUAGGCAUAGCAAAAGAGCGAGCAACUAGCAAGCAAAGAUAGAAGUGAUUUCGAGGGUAUGGUCAUCUUGCCUGAGAUCCCGCAAGGAAGAAGAACGAGUCCAUGAAGAAGACAAACGGACGUAGUCGAACGGAUCCUCACAAACGCAACGUUAUCGGACCCAACCCGAAGAAGCAACACCGGAAAGAAGCACACAACAUAGUAAACAACCAACAAAUGAAUAUGGCAUGAUGCACAACUAAGUAUGAUGCAUGUCUGGUUUAAUGAUAGAUGGCAUGUCAAAGUGCACAAGCAAUCCUACAAAUUAAGUGGAGCUCAAUAUGCAUCGGGAUGCAUAUUGACAAAACACCACAUCAAUUAUUUAGUUCUCUCCCGUUUAAGUACUCAACAAUAUUAAAUGUUGGUUAACAUGGAAAGAGGUGAAGCAUAACAAAACUAUACCCAUUAAACAGUUUAAAUGGGGCCGGAUAUAACAAACAAGAAAUCCGGUAAAUCCCCAUAUGCAUUAGUAAUUUAUUGCAACAACAAUUUAAAUAUUUUAAUUGUUGUUAUCAUGAUGCGGAUGACAUGAACAAGUUUAUGCAAUUUUUAUUAAAAGUUGACAAGAGCAUUAUAAGGCAUUUGUCACCGUGGUGGAAGGGAAAAGGGUGCCAUGGCAACGAUAACGAAAAUGGUGCCACGGCAGCGUUCCAGUUCCGGUAACUCGAUUGAGAUACCGAUGCAAAGGAGAAGUGUGCGGAUGCGUGCAAAAAAUGGUGGGGCGCUCCCGGAUUCCGUGUGUCCCACGGGUUAGUGGCAUGGAAAACGAGUGACAAUACGGACACGGUGCAGACAAAGGGUGCAUCUCAUCCAACAUGCAUUCAUGCGUUCACGGGCGUCGUCUCGGGGUUAUUCCUUUGAAGCGUGCGUUUUCGAAGUGUAUCGAGUCGGCGUAGAGGAAGUAGUGGAAGUAGUCGUUCUCUCAUGCUCAAGGGUCGACGGUAGAGGUUCUCGCGAUCUCGGCGAUGGUAGUGGUACAUGUUUAUCGGUAGUCGAACAUGACGAUCCGGAGAGGGUACUUGGCAACAUGCACGUCGUCGGUAGUUGUACACAAUCGUUGUCGGACUUGACGGGUUCGAGGUCUCCGGGUGUAGUGGUACUUGGCGUCCCAUCGUGUAGUCGUUUGUCAUAGUCGGACUUGACAAAAUGCACACCGGCUAUAGUUGUACACGAUUCGUAGACGUUCGGGUCUCCCGUAGGGGUACUCGUUACAUCUCCAGGUGUAGUGGUACUUGUCAUAAUCCGAAAUGGUCUUGGCGAUCUUGACGGAUCCAAGUGACACCAGGCAUACGUCUAUGGUAGUCUUCGGACUUGGGCUCCGGGUAGAUGACUUGAGGGUCUCAGUCAGGAGCACUUGUGGCAAAGAAGUGCCCGUGAACGAGACGAUGCAGCACGAACAGGAGGCGGAUGUCACGCUCGGCGAGCGGCGGGGCUCCCUGGUCGGAGUCGGUAGGGACGGCACGACGCGGUGACGAAGGGGAGGUCGCAGGGAGAGCUGCUGGAGGUGGAUGCAGAGGGUCGAACAGGAACGUGGCGGCGCAGCAGCAGCUAGCGAGGCAUGGGGGAGGCCUUGCGCGGCGCCGGAGAUGGGGAACGGGUGGAACCGAGGUUCCCCGGCAGCAGGGACGGCGUCUAGCGAUGCGCGGCCUGGGUGGCUCGAUGCAGGACGCGGGAGGAGGCUAGAAGGCACGGCGGCGGCUUGUUGGACUUGGACGCGAUGGCGCAGCAGCAGAAAAGCUUCGGUGGAGAAAGCGGAGCGCUCGUGCUGCUCGGAAUUGAGCCUUUGCUCUCCCGAGCAAGGAGGCGGCGAUGGUGGUGGAGCGCUCUGGCGAGACGGGGACGCGGGGGAAGGAGUAGAGCGCGGCAGGGCAGGUCGGGUCGCCAGCACGGCAGGGCAAGUCGGGUCACCGACACGGGCGCCAUGGCUGGAGGCGGGGAGGCAGCGGCGAGGUCUUGCGACGUUCAUGGCGGGGCAAGGCAGGAACAUGAGGGGAGGAGGCUGCUGGAGGCGGCCGAUGCUCGAAGAGAGGAGAUCGUGAGGACGAGAGGGAGAUGGAUCGAGCGAGGUAGCACUCUCCCUCUCCUUGGCGAUGCGUGAGUGGCGGCGUGAGGGAGGAGAACGAGGGAAGGGAGUGGGGAUCCAGAGAAAGAGGUAGCGAUCGGUUAGGGUUAGAGCAGUGGGUUGUGGGAUGGCCUUGGGCCAAAUGGGCCUAGGCGCAGAUGGCUGGGAGGCCCAGCUGGGCUGACUUCCCCCCCCCCCCACUCUCUCUCUCUCUCUCAUAUUACUUUAGCAGAAAAGACCAAAAAAGAGAGGAAAAGAAAGAGAGGUUUACGAAAAGAUUUUGGACAAGGGGAUAAUUUUCCCGAACUCACAAAAAUACGCUUGUUCUGAGAAAAUGGAGAAGGCCAAGAUUGGAAGAUGUAAAUUCAAACUCAUUUGAAUUUAAUUCAAAUGGGUUUGAACUAGGACUAGGUUCUAGGAGUUUCCAAAAAUGUUGAGAAUUUUGGUAGACCUCCGGAAAAUGAUGAAAGAAUAAAUGGCAAGGUUCGAGGUCAAGCAGCAAGAUAACAAAGGCAUGGGGAAAUUUGCAAGUGUGUUUUAGGUGAUUCCAUAAGAAUGGAUUAUUUUAUAAUAUCUCCACUAAUAUAGGGAGGAUAUAUUAUAAAGAGAAGUCAUCCUUCCCUCGAUUUAAAUGGAUCGAAGAUCCACACAAAUUAUUUAGUUGAGAUGCAAAAGAUUUAUGACAUGAUGCAAAGAUGAAUGCAACAAACCAACAACUCACACGACGAAAACCCGGAAACCCUGGAAGGCAUCUGAAGCUCCGGCCUUGGGGCGUCACAACACUCCACCACUAUGAGAGGAUCUCGUCCCGAGAUCUAGAAUAGCACCAGAGGGAAAACAGAAGAGAAAGAGAAGAGGUAAAACUAAGUUGCUUUUUUGACAAACGAGUGAAACCAAGAAACCUUGAAAAGUUGAACAAAUUGAAAGAAAGAAUACAACAGGGAUGAACGAAAUUGAAAACACACCGCUAGAAAAGACGAACAAGGGAGAACAUCUUCGGACAGCACUCCGGUUAAAUGGAUAAGCACGAAAAACAUGAUCUUUGACAAAACGAGAUGAUGGGUGAAAAGAACAACAUCGCAAUGCCUCCGAGAGAGAGAAAUAGAAGCUAGAUCAUUGAAAUAAAAGAAUGGAGAAGAAAAGCCAACUUCUGUCACAAAAGAGUUUGAAAAGGCAUCCUUAGGAGAAGGGUCGAACGGAGUUGUUGGAAAAACCAACAACGAAAAGAGUAAGCUUGUAGUGGGUUUAUGGAAAACAUCUCAAAACCAAGAGGUGAAAAUCUGCCACUAACGGAAACGAUAUAUUGGACUGAUAACAACAAGGAGAUGAGAAACUUAUCUCACCGAUAGGAUAAAUGAAGAACAUGGAUCAUUUAUAAGCACCAUAACUAGCAACAAUCCUUAGGGAAGGCUAUAGGUGAAAUAUGACACAAGAUAACUCGAACGAAGAGAUUGGUGGAUUUAAAACACCUCAUUCUUAACAACAUGUGAAUCAUGAAACAUGAACUCAAGUUAUCAAGAAUGACAUAAUACCACCUCCAAUGAUACGGAAGAAAGAAUUGCACUCCGGAUAGCAAGAAGAAGAAUGCUUGAGCUCCUCUGAAAAGAAUCUUGAUGAACACUUCGAGAAGGAAUUAAAUCCUUGAUGAACCAUCACGUAGAACCUUCAUGAAGAACUCCGGUAAACGAAAAUCAAGAGAAGUUGGAAACACAAGGUGAAACAUUGUAAUGAUUUAGAUGGAUCUCCGUGAUAAUUAGAGCUUGGAACUCCGGGAAAAAAGAGGAGAUGAAAACAAUUGAAAACCAAGAGCUUGAUGAGCCUCCGGAAUAAGGAAUUAAAUCACUUGGAUGAAACAAGAAUAAGAAUUACAUUAUGCUUAUCCUUCACCAAAUUAAAUUGAUGACAAUCAACGGAUUUGGCAUAUUACUUAUUCUCGUAGAAAAGAUUAAGAGAGUAUAACAUCAGACUUGGGAAGGUCUUCAACGAAACACCGGUAGGAUUGAAAUAACGAAUGAAUUUGUAUGAUAAGGAAAGAAGAAGAAUCUUGAUCAAACCACCAUAAGAAUUAAAAAUGAAUGAAGUAAAGACAAAGAAACACCGGGAAGAAUUAUGAAAUGAAUGAAGAUACUUGUGAGGAUUUAGAUCCAUGAGAAUGAAGAGAUUACGAGCUCAUUAAAGAAUAUUGAAUGAUGCACCGGUGAGAUUUGGGGAACGAGAGCUGAAAACUGAGAAUGAAUAAACCUGAAUUGAAGGACUCUGGAUAAAAAUAACUGAGAAGACUCUUGAAUUGUUCCGGAUAGAUGAGAAGAAUUGCCACAAUCAAAACAAUUAUGAGAGGAUGGCCUCGAACUAGAACCACGAAUCUCUGAGAGAACGGAUAAGAUAUGAAGGUAAAGCUCUUCUUCGGUCUUCAAAUGUUGAGAGUGACGACGAGAAACAUCACCAUGAAUUGUUAAGAUACUCUGGAAUGAAAAAUGGAAAGGCUGAGUCAACGGUAAAAAUAAUUUGAAAGAUCUUGGAGAAAGACAUUUGACUGAUGACAAUUCAUUCUCACGUCAAACUUUAAGAAUUUGAGGAUAGCUCCGGGAAAAUAAGAAGAGUCAAGUAAGAUCCUGGAAAAAGACAUGUGGGUUAGGGCCCACUGAGAAGAAACACCGUUGAAAUGAUUUAAAAGAGAGGAUUGCACCGGUUGAAUUAAAUGACUUGAAUGAGAGAAGAUCCUCGAAAGAUCUUGAAUGAAUGCAGAGUGGAAAACACGAAUCUUUGAGACAUCUUGAGCACUCCGGAACAAUUGAAUAGUGAGAUGUGAGAGAUUAAGAUUUGCAACGGCAUGGGAAAACAUUUGAAAUGAGGAAAGGGAUAUGAUCGACGAAGCUUGACUUGAAACCACCGGAGAUGAAAAGAAUGAAGAAUGACGAACUUGAAGCUCCAUUAGAAUCUUCAUGAGAAUCACCGAAUAAGAACAUUGACAGAAAAGGAAUAGAGAGGCUUCCCAUGAACAAAAUGAUACUUGAAUAAGAAAUUUGAGUUCUUGAAGAGAAGGGUGGGAGGGAGGGAAAACAAAGGCAACUUCGAGACGGAUGAAACAAACACCGUUCAGAAGAAACUGAUACUUGAUCUUGCGGAUGUUGAAAUGAUCGGCUUCACUUGAAGAGAAAACACACCGGUUAAAAAGGAUUGACAAAAACAAUCUUGAUGAACAUGAAGGAUUUGUAUUCGCAUCGGAGUAUGAGAACACCACUAUGAGAAAGGUAUGGAAUCAACAUUUGACUUCGAAGCAACUCGAAUACCACAUCUCAAAACAAAACAAGGAUUGGCUUGCAGAAUAAGCCAGAACAAACAUAUGAUAGAGAUUUCGUCCGAAGUUUUCAUGGUGGGGCCUACAUGGGCUCAAUCGUACAGGACCAUCAUGUACAAGGCAGUGCACAUGACAUACGAAGCAUCCCCGAGUCGGCAUAGCCAAGGACUCUUUAAGACACUACGAGACCACUGUAAAACCAACCGUGGAUAGGCGGACCAUUAGACGUCGAACCCCAAUUUCAGAUCAUACAUCUGUCGAAAAGAUAUCCUAAGAGCUACUUGAAUUACCACUUAUAAACUCCCAAAAUUUUCCGGUUAUGCAAUCAGGUGUUGGGGAUACAGGGGAAGCAUAAUAUCUCACCCAAAACUAACAAAUCCUACAUCCAGCUGUAUCCAUCCUUCAACACAUAACCAAGAAACCUUCGGAAAUCAUCUACCUCAACCUUCGAAAAGCAUCCCUUAUACGAGUUAUGGCGAUACUCCGGAACUCCCGCCCCAGUACUGGGUGGCGUCGAGGUUAUCUCACCAACAACUGCAUAAAAGAGAUUUUCGAUGUCGGCGAAUUAAACUCAGGUAUUCCAGAACUGCAACGAUAAAAUUGUGAUGACAACACCUCGGAGCUCAACUCCCCGCGACACCGCCACAACCCCUAAAUGUCAGGAGGCACCAAGAACAAUGUUCUCGUCACAAAACCAUCGGAACGAUUCCAAAAUACCUGCGUGAUCCUAAAAAAAUUUAGUGAAAAUUUGAGAAGAGAAGAGUCAAAACUCUACGUCAGGAUGCCUUACCAGAGCGAUGAAGGGACUGGGGAGUAAAAAGAAUUCCUAAACUCUCCGACAUAUAAUUCCUAAUGACUCAAAACAUUUUUCUAGACUCAACAACGGCAGCUAAUUCGAUCAAGCAGUGGGGCUCCUAAGGUCGGGGAAGGCUCUGAUACCAACUUGUCACGCCCUCGAUGCGGCUAUAUCUCCCAUGUGUCGAAGCACGACUUAGAGGCAUAACCGCAUUGAAAGCAAUGUCGCAAGUGAGGUAAUCUUCACACAACCCAUGUAAUACAUAAGGGACAGAGGUACAUAGUUGGCUUACAAUUGCCACUUCACACAAUACAUGAAUAAAGCAUUACAUCAUCCAGAUACAAUCAAGGUCCGACUACGGAACCAAAAUAAAAUAAGACUACCCCAAAAGCUACACAGAUCCCCGAUCGACCCCAACUAGGCUCCACUACUGAUCAACUAGAACGAAACAACACAAAGGACAAGAUCUUCAUCGAGCUUCUCCUGAGCUUGGUUGCGUCAUCUGCACGGUAACCUUGGCACCUACAAGCUAGUUUUGGAAGUAUCUGUGAGCCACAGGGACUCAGCAAUCUCACACCCUCGCGGUCAAGACUAUUUAAGCUUAUGGGUAAGGUGAAAGGUAUGAGGUGGAGCUGCAGUAAGCGACUAGCAUAUAUGGUGGCUAACAUACGCAAAUGAGAGCGAGAAGAGAAGGCAAAGUGCGGUCGAUAAAAGUAUGAUCAAGAAGUGAUCCUAGAACAACCUAUGUCAAGCAUAACUCCAACACCGUGUUCACUUCCCGGACUCUGCUAGAAAGAGACCAUCAUAGUUACACACGCGGUUGAUGCAUUUUAAUUAAGGUCAACUUCAGGUUUUCUACAACCGGACGUUAAAAAAUUCCCAUCUGCCCAUAACCGCGGGCACGACUUUCGAAAGUUCAAAACCCUGCAGGGGUGUCCCAACUUAGCCCAUCACAAGCUCUCACAGUCAACGAAGGAUAUUCCUUCUAGCGGGAAGACCCGAUCAGACUCGGAAUCCCGGUUACAAGACAUCCUCGACAAUGGUAAAACAAGUCCAGCAAGACCACCCGAUGCACCGACAUCCCGAUAGGAGCUGCACAUAUCUCGUUCUCAGGGCAACACCGGAUAAGCAAUCCGUACAACUAAAACCAGCCCUCGAGUUUCCCCGAGGUGGCGCUGCAAGGGGCUCUAGUUUGGACCAACACUUAGACAAGCACUGGCCUGGGGGGGUUUAAAAUAAAGAUGACCCUUGGGCUGGCCUAACCCAAGGGAAAAAAAGCUAGGUGGCAAAUGGUAAAACCAAUGUUGGGCCUUGCUGGAGGAGUUUUAUUCAAAGCGAACUGUCAAGGGGUUCCCAUUAUAACCCAACCGCGUGAGGAACACAAAAUCCGGGAACAUAACACCGAUAUGAUGGAAACUAGGGAGGCAAGAGCGGAACAAAACACUAGGCAUAAGGCCGAGCGUUCCACCCUUUACCAAGUAUAUAGAUGCAUUAAUUAAAUAAGAUAUAUUAUGAUAUCCCAACAAGUAAACAUGUUCCAACAAGGAACAACAUCUCCAUGUUCCAACAAGGAACAAACUUCAAUCUUCACCUGCAACUAAUAACGCUAUAAGAGGGGCUGAGCAAAGCGGUAACAUAGCCAAACAAUGGUUUUCUAGGACAAGGUGGGUUAGAGGCUUGGUUCAACAAUAUGGGAGGCACGAUAAGCAAGUGGUAGGUAUCGCAACAUAGGCACAGCAAAAGAGCGAGCAACUAGCAAGCAAAGAUAGAAGUGAUUUCGAGGGUAUGGUCAUCUUGCCUGAGAUCCCGCAAGGAAGAAGAACGAGUCCAUGAAGAAGACAAACGGGCGUAGUCGAAUGGAUCCUCACAAACGCAACGUUAUUGGACCCAACCCGAAGAAGCAACACCGGAAAGAAGCACACAACAUAGUAAACAACCAACACAUGAACAUGGCAUGAUGCACAACUAAGUAUGAAGCAUGUCCGGUUUAAUGAUAGAUGUCAUGUCAAAGUGCACAAGCAAUCCUACAAAUUAAGUGGAGCUCAAUAUGCAUCGGGAUGCAUAUUGACAAAACACCACAUCGAUUAUUUAGUUCUCUCCCGUUUAAGUACUCAACAAUAUUAAAUGUUGGUUAACAUGGCAAGAGGUGAAGCAUAACAAAACUAUACCCAUUAAACAGUUUAAAUGGGGCCGGAUAUAACAAACAACAAAUCCGGUAAAUCCCCAUAUGCAUUAGUAAUUUAUUGCAACAACAAUUUAAACAUUUUAAUUGUUGUUAUCAUGAUGUGGAUGACAUGAACAAGUUUAUGCAAUUUUUAUUAAAAGUUGACAAGAGCAGUAUAAGGCAUUUGUCACCGUGGUGGAAGGAAAAAGGGUGCCACGGCAACGAUAACGAAAACGGUGCCACGACAGCGUUCCAGUUCCGGUAACUCGAUUGAGAUACCGAUGCAAAGGAGAAGUGUGCGGAUGCGUGCAAAAAAUGGUGGGGAGCUCCCGAAUUCCGGGUGUCCCACGGGUUAGUGGCAUGGAAAACGAGUGACAAUACGGACACGGUGCAGACAAAGGGUGCAUCUCAUCCAACAUGCAUUCAUGCGUUCACGGACGUCGUCUCGGGGUUAUACCUUUGAAGCGUGCAUUUUUUAAGUGUAUCGAGUCGGCGUAGAGCAAGUAGUCGUUCUCUCAUGCUCAAGGGUCGACGGUAGAGGUUCUCGCGAUCUCGGCGAUGGUAGUGGUACAUGUUUAUCGGUAGUCGAACAUGACGAUCCGGAGAGGGUACUUGGCAACAUGCACGUCAUCGGUAGUUGUACACAAUCGUUGUCGGACUUGACGGGUUUGAGGUCUCCGGGUGUAGUGGUACUUGGCGUCCCAUCGUGUAGUCGUUUGUCGUAGUCGGACUUGACAAAUGCACACCGGCUAUAGUCGUACACGAUUCGUAGACGUUCAGUUCUUCCGCAGGUGUACUCGUUACAUCUCCAGGUGUAGUGGUACUUGUCAUAAUCCGAAACGGUCUUGGCGAUCUUGAAGGAUCCAAGUGACACCAGGCAUAUGUCCACGAUAGUCUUCGGACUUGGGCUCCGGGUAGAUGACUUCAGGGUCUCAGUCAGGAGCACUUGUGGCAAAGAAGUGCCCGUGAACGAGACGAUGCAGCACGAACAGGAGGCGGAUGUCACGUUCGGCGAGCGGCGGGGCUCCCUGGUCGGAGUCGGUAGGGAUGGCACGAGGCGGUGACGAAGAGGAGGUCGCAGGGAGAGCUGCUGGAGGUGGAUGCAGAGGGUCGAACAGGAACGUGGCGGCGCAGCAGCAGCUUGCGAGGCAUGGGGGGGCUUGCGCGGCACCGGAGACGGGGAACGGGUGGAACCGAGGUUCCCCGGCAGCAGGGACGGCGUCUGGCGAUGCCCGGCCCGGGCGGCUCGAUGCAGGACGCGGGAGGAGGCUAGAAGGCGCGGCGGCGGCUUGCUGGACUUGGACGCGAUGCAGGACGCGGCAGGGCAAGUCGGUUCACCGACGCGGGCGCCAUGGCCGGAGGUGGGGAGGCAGCGGCGAGGUCUUGCGACGUUCAUGGCGGGGCAAGGCAGGAACGUGAGGGGAGGAGGCUGCUGGAGGCGGCCGAUGCUCGAAGAGAGGAGAUCGUGAGGAUGAGAGGGAGAGGGAUCGAGCGAGGCAGCACUCUCCCUCUCCUUGGCGAUGCAUGAGUGGCGGCGCGAGGGAGGAGAACGAGGGAAGGUAGUAGGGAUCGAGAGAAAGAGGUAGCGAUCGGUUAGGGUUAGAGCAGUGGGCUACGGGAUGGCCUUGGGCCAAAUGGGCCUAGGCGCAGAUGGCUGGGAGGCCCAGCUGGGCUGACUUCCUCCCCACUCUCUCUCUCUCAUAUUACUUUAGCAGAAAAGACCAAAAAACAGAGGAAAAGAAUGGGAGGUUUAGGAAAAGAUUUUGGACAAGGGGAUAAUUUUCCCGAACUCACAAAAAUACGCUUGUUCCGAGAAAAUAGAGAAGGCCAAGAUUGGAAGAUGUAAAUUCAAACUCAUUUGAAUUUAAUUCAGAUGGGUUUGAACUAGGACUAGGUUCUAGGAGUUUCCAAAAAUGUUUAGAAUUUUGGUAGAGCUCCGGAAAAUGAUGAAAGAAUAAAUGGCAAGGUUUGAGGUCAAGCAGCGAGAUAACAAAGGCAUGGGGAAAUUUGCAAGUGUGUUUUAGGUGAUUCCAUAAGAAUGGAUUAUUUUAUAAUAGCUCCACUAAUAUCGGGAUGAUAUAUUAUAAACAGAAGUCAUCCUUCCCUCGAUUUAAAUGGAUUGAAGAUCCACACAAAAAUUUUAGUUGAGAUGCAAAAGAUUUAUGACAUGAUGCAAUGCACAUGAUGCAAAGAUGAAUGCAACAAACCAACAACUCACACGACAAAAACCCGGAAACCUUGGAAGGCAUCUGAAGCUCCGGCCUUGGGGCGUCACAGUGAACUACUCCCUCCUCGUCAUGGAGAGCAUCGAGAUGAUGAAGACGGCCAACGGUGAUGCUUUCCCCCUGUGGCAGGGUGCUGGAACAGGGUCCCGAUUGGUUUUUGGUGGCAACAGAGGCUUUCGGCGGCAGGACCCUGAUGUCUACUACACAACCUUCUUCUUAUAGACGUUGUUGGGCCUCCAAGUGCAGAGGUUUGUAGGACAGUAGCAAAUUUCCCUCAAGUGGAUGACCUACGGUUUAUCAAUCCGUAGGAGGCUAGGAUGAAGAUGGUCUCUCUCAAGCAAUCCUGCAACCAAAUAACAAAGAGUCUCUUGUGUCCCCAACACACCCAAUACAAUGGUAAAUUGUAUAGGUGCACUAGUUCGGUGAAGAGAUGGUGAUACAAGUGGUAUAUGGAUAGUAGAUAAUGGUUUUUGUAAUCUGAAAAUAUAAAAACAGCAAGGUAACUAAUGAUAAAAGUGAGCGUAAACAGUAUUGCAAUGCUAGGAAACAAGGCCUAGGGUUCAUACUUUCACUAGUGCAAGUUCUCUCAACAAUAAUAACAUAAUUGGAUCACAUAACUAUCCCUCAACAUGCAACAAAGAGUCACUCCAAAGUCACUAAUAGCGGAGAACAAACGAAGAGAUUAUGGUAGGGUACGAAACCACCUCAAAGUUAUUCUUUCCAAUCAAUCCGUUGGGCUAUUCCUAUAAGUGUCACAAACAGCCCUAGAGAUCGUACUAGAAUGACACCUUAAGACACAAAUCAACCAAAACCCUAAUGUCACCAAGACACUCCAAUGUCACCUCAAGUAUCCGUGGGUAUGAUUAUACGAUAUGGAUCACACAAUCUCAGAUUUAUCUAUUCAACCAACACAUAGAACCUCAAAGAGUGCCCCAAAGUUCCUACUGGAGAAUCACGAUGAAAACGUGUGCCAACCCCUAUGCAUAGGUUCAUGGGCGGAACCCGCAAGUUGAUCACCAAAAACAUACAUCAUGUGAAUCACGUGGUAUCCCAUUGUCACCUCAGAUAGGCACGGUAAGACAUACAUCAAGUGUUCUCAAAUCUUUAAAGACUCCAUCGAUAAGAUAACUUCAAAGGGAAAACUCAAUCCAUUACAAGAGAGUAGAGGGGGAGAAAACAUCAUAGGAUCCAACUAUAAUAGCAAAGCUCGCGAUACAUCAAGAUUGUAUCACCUCAAGAACACGAGAGAGAGAGAGAGAGAGAGAGAGAUCAAACACAUAGCUACUGGUACAUACCCUCAGCCCCGAGGGAGAACUACUCCCUCCUCGUCAUGGAGAGCACCAGGAUGAUGAAGAUAGCCACCGGAGAGGGAUUGCCCCCUCCGGCAAGGUGCCGGAACGGGUCUAGAUUGGCUUUCGGUGGCUACGGAGGCUUCUAGCGGCGGAACUCCCAAUCUAUUGUGUUCCCCGAUGUUUUUAGGGUAUAUGGAGAUAUAUAGGCGGAAGAAGUACGCCGGGGGGCACGAGGGGCCCACGAGAGUGGAGGGCGCGCCCAGGGGGGUGGGCGCGCCCCCUGCCUCGUGGCUUCCUAUAGAUCCCCUGACGUGCACUCCAAGUCUUCUGGACUUCUUCUGAUCCAAAAAUAAGUUCCUGAAGUUUUAGGUCAAUUGGACUCUGCUUGGUUUUCCUUUUCUGCGAUAUUCUAAAACAAGAUAAAAACAGAAACUGGCACUGGGCUCUGGGUUAAUAGGUUAGUCUCAAAAAUCAUAUAAAAUAGCAUACAAAUGCAUAUAAAACUUCCAAGGUUGAUAAUAUAAUAGCAUGGAACAAUAAUAAAUUAUAGAUACGUUGGAGACGUAUCAGCAUCCCCAAGCUUAAUUCCUGCUCGUCCUCGAGUAGGUAAAUGAUAAAAACAGAAUUUUUGAUGUGGAAUGCUACCUAACAUAUUUAUCCAUGUAAUUCUCUUUAUUGUGGCAAGAAUAUUAAGAUCCAUAAGAUUCAAGACAAAAGUUUAAUAUUGACAUAAAAAUAAUAAUACUUCAAGCAUACUAACCAAGCAAUUAUGUCUCUUCAAAAUAACAUGGCCAAAGAAAGUUAUCCCUACAAAAUCAUAUAGUCUGGCUAUGCUCCAUCUUCACCACACAAUGUAUUCAAAUCAUGUGCAAACCCGAUGACAAGCCAAGCAAUUGUUUCAUACUUUUGGUGUUCUCAAACUUUUUCAAUCUUCACGCAAUACAUGAGUGUGAGCCAUGAACAUAGCACUAUAGGUGGAAUAGAAUGGUGGUUGUGGAGAAUACAAAAAGGAGAAGAUAGUCUCACAUCAACUAGGCGUAUCAACGGGCUAUGGAGAUGCCCAUCAAUAGAUAUCAAUGUGAGUGAGUAGGGAUUGCCAUGCAACGGAUGCACUAGAGCUAUAAGCGUAUGAAAGCUCAACAAAAGAAACUAGUGGGUGUGCAUCCAACUUGCUUGCUCACGAAGACCUAGGGCAUUUUGAGGAAGCCCAUCAUUGGAAUAUACAAGCCAAGUUCUAUAAUGAAAGAUUCCCACUAGUAUAUGAAAGUGACAACAUAGGAGACUCUCUAUCAUGAAGAUGAUGGUGCUACUUUGAAGCACAAGUGUGGUAAAAGGAUAGUAGCAUUGCCCCUUCUCUCUUUUUCUCUCAUUUUUUUAUUUUUUAUUUUUUUAUUUGGGCCUUCUCUUUCUAUGGCCUCUUUUAUCUUUUUUUUAUUUGAGCUUCUUUGGCCUCUUUUAUUUAUUUAUUUUCGUCCGGAGUCUCAUCCGGAUUUGUGGGGGAAUCAUAGUCUCCAUCAUCCUUUCCUCACUGGGACAAUGCUCUAAUAAUGAUGAUCAUCACACUUUUAUUUACUUACAACUCAAGAAUUACAACUCGAUACUUAGAACAAGAUAUGACUCUAUAUGAAUGCCUCUGACGGUGUACCGGGAUGUGCAAUGAUGCAUGAGUGACAUGUAUGAAAGAAUUAUGAAUGGUGGCCUUGCCACAAAUACAAUGUCAACUACGUGAUCAUGCAUAGCAAUAUGACAAUGAUGAAGCGUGUCAUAAUAAACGGAACGGUGGAAAGUUGCAUGGCAAUAUAUCCCGGAAUGGCUAUGGAAAUGCCAUAAUAGGUAGGUAUGGUGGCUGUUUUGAGGAAGAUAUAUGGUGGGUUUGUGGUACCGGCGAAAGUUGCGCGGUACUAGAGAGGCUAGCAAUGGUGGAAGGGUGAGAGUGCGUAUAAUCCAUGGACUCAACAUUAGUCAUAAAGAACUCACAUACUUAUUGCAAAAAUCUAUUAGUUAUCGAAACAAAGUAUUACGUGCAUGCUCCUAGGGGGAUAGAUUGGUAGGAAAAUACUAUCGCUCGUCCCCGACCGCCACUCAUCAGGAAGACAAUCAAUAAAUAAAUCAUGCUCCGACUUCAUCACAUAACGGUUCACCAUACGUGCAUGUUACGGGAAUCACAAACUUCAACACAAAUAUUCCUCAAAUUCACAACUACUCAACUAGCAUGACUCUAAUAUCACCAUCUUCAUAUCUCAAAACAAUCAUCAAGUAUUAAACUUCUCAUAGUAUUCAAUGCACUUUAUAUGAAAGUUUUAAUUAUAUCCCUCUUGGAUGCCCAUCAUAUUAGGACUAGUUUCAUAACCAAAGAAAACUACCAUUCUGUUCUAAAGACUCUCAAAAUGAUAUAAGUGAAGCAUGAGAGUUCAUCUAUUUUUAUAAAAUAAAACCACCACCGUGCUCUAAAAGGAUAUAAGUGAAGCACUAGAGCAAUGACAAACUACUCCUAAAGAUAUAAGUGAAGCUCAAUGAGUAGUCGAAUAAUUAUGCAACUAUGUGAAGACUCUCUAACAUUUAAGAAUUUCAGAUCUUGGUAUUUUAUUCAAAAAGAAAGUAAAACUAAAUAAAAUAAAUGACGCUCCAAGCAAAACACAUAUCAUGUGGCGAAUAAAAAUAUAGCUCCAAGUAAAGUUACCGAUGAACGAAGACGAAAGAGGGGAUGCCUUCCGGGGCAUCCCCAAGAUUAGGCUCUUGGUUGUCCUAGAAUAUUACCUUGGUAUGCCUUGGGCAUCCCCAAGCUUAGGCUCUUGCCACUCCUUAUUCCAUAGUCUAUCGAAUCUUUACCCAAAACUUGAAAACUUCACAACACAAAACUUAACAGAAAACUCGUAAGCUCCGUUAGCGAAAGAACACAAAACACCACUUCAAGGUACUGUAAUGAACUCAUUCUUUAUUUAUAUUGGUGUUAUAUCUACUGUAUUCCAACUUCUCUAUGGUUCAUACCCUCCGAUACUACUCAUAGAUUCAUCAAAAUAAGCAAACAACACAUAGAAAACAGAAUCUGUCAAAAACAGAACAGUCUGUAGUAAUCUGGAUCAAACUUAUACUUCUGAAACUCAUAAAAUUCUGAAAUAAAUUUCCUGACGUGAGGAAUUUAUCUAUUAAUCAUCUUAAAAAAUAAUUAACUAAAUAUCACUCUCCAAUAAAAAAUGACAGCAAUUCUCAUGAGCGCUAAAGUUUCUGUUUUUACAGCAUGAUCGCAAAGACUUUCCCCAAGUCUUCCCAACGGUUCUACUUGGCACAAACACUAAUUAAAACAUAAAAACACAUCUAAACAGAGUCUAGAUGAAUUAUUCAUUACUAAAUAGGAACACAAAGUAAGGAACUAAAAUAAAAUUGGGUUGCCUCCCAAUAAGCGCUAUCGUUUAACGCCCCUAGCUAGGCAUGAUGAUUUCAAUGAUGCUCACAUAAAAGAUAAGAAUUGAAACUUAAAGAGAGCAUCAAGAAGAAUAUGAAUAGCACAUUUACGUCUAACCCACUUCCUAUGCAUAGGGAUUUUGUGAGCAAACAACUUAUGGGAACAAUAAUCAACUAGCAUAUGAGGGCAAAACAAGCAUAACUCUAAAACUUUAAGCACAUAGAGAGGAAACUUGAUAUUAUUGCAAUUCCUACAAGCAUAUAUUCCUCCCUCAUAAUAAUUUUCAGUAGCAUCAUGAAUGAAUUCAACAAUAUAACCAGCACCUAAAGCAUUCUUUUCAUGAUCUACAAGCAUAGAAAUUUUAUUACUCUCCACACAAACAAAAUUCUUCUCAUGAUAAUAGUGGGAGCAAACUCAACAAAAUAAUUAUCAUGUGAGGCAUAAUCCAAUUGAAAACUAAAAUCAUGAUGAAAAGUUUCAUGGUUAUCAUUAUUCUUUAUAGCAUACAAGUCAUCACAAUAAUCAUCAUAGAUAGCAACUUUGUUCUCAUAAUCAAUUGGAACCUUUUCCAGAAUAGUGGAAUCAUUACUAAAUAAAGUCAUGACCUCUCCAAAUCCACUUUAAUCAAUAUAAUCAUCAUAAAUAGGAGGCAUGCUUUCAUCAUAAUAAAUUUGCUCAUCAAAACUUGGGGGACAAAAAAUAUCAUCUACAUCAAACAUAGCUUCCCCAAGCUUGUGGCUUUGCAUACAAUUAGCAUCAUGGAUAUUCAAAGAAUUCAUACUAACAACAUUGCAAUCAUGCUCAUCAUUCAAAUAUUUAGUGCCAAACAUUUUAUAGCAUUCUUCUUCUAACACUUUGGCACAAUUUUCCUUCCCAUCAUACUCAUGAAAGAUAUUAAAAAAAUGAAGCGUAUGAGGUAAACUCAAUUCCUUUUUUAUAGUUUUCUUUUAUAAACUAAACUAGUGAUAAAACAAGAAACUAAAAGACUUGAUUGCAAGAUCUAAAGAUAUACCUUCAAGCACUCACCUCCCCGGCAACGGCGCCAGAAAAGAGCUUGAUGUCUACUACACAACCUUCUUCUUGUAGACGUUGUUGGGCCUCCAAGUGCAGAGGUUUGUAGGACAGUAGCAAAUUUCCCUCAAGUGGAUGACAUAAGGUUUAUCAAUCCGUAGGAGGCGUAGGAUGAAGAUGGUCUCUCUCAAGCAACCCUGCAACCAAAUAACAAAGAGUCUCUUGUGUCCCCCAACACACCCAAUACAAUGGUAAAUUGUAUUGGUGCACUAGUUCGGCGAAGAGAUGGUGAUACAAGUGGUAUAUGGAUAGUAGAUAAUGGUUUUUGUAAUUUUAAAAUAUAAAAAUAGCAAGGUAACUAAUGAUAAAAGUGAGCGUAAACGGUAUUGUGAAGCUAGGAAACAAGGCCUAGGGUUCAUACUUUCACUACUGCAAGUUCUCUCAACAAUAAUAACAUAAUUGGAUCGCAUAACUAUCCCUCAACAUGCAACAAAGAGUCACUCCAAAGUCACUAAUAGCGGAGAACAAACGAAGAGAUUAUGGUAGGGUACGAAACCACCUCAAAGUUAUUCUUUCCAAUCAAUCCGUUGGGCUAUUCCUAUAAGUGUCACAAACAACCCUAGAGUUCGUACUGGAAUAACACCUUAAGACACAAAUCAACCAAAACCCUAAUGUCACCUAGAUACUCCAAUGUCACCUCGAGUAUCCGUGGGUAUGAUUAUACGAUAUGCAUCACACAAUCUCAGAUUCAUCUAUUCAACCAACACAUAGAACCUCAAAGAGUGCCCGAAAGUUCCUACCGGAGAAUCACGACGAAAACGUGUGCCAACCCGUAUGCAUAGGUUCAUGGGCGGAACCCGCAAGUUGGUCACCAAAACAUACAUCAAGUGAAUCACAUGAUAUCCCAUUGUCACCACAGAUAUCCACGGCAAGACAUACAUCAAGUGUUCUCAAAUCUUUAAAGACUCCAUCCGAUAAGAUUACUUCAAAGGGAAAACUCAAUCCAUUACAAGAGAGUAGAGGGGGGAUAAAACAUCAUAGGAUCCAACUAUAAUAGCAAAGCUCGCGAUACAUCAAGAUCGUAUCACCUCAAGAACACGAGAGAGAGAGAGAGAGAGAUCAAACACAUAGCUACUGGUACAUACCCUCAGCCCCGAGGGAGAACUACUCCAUCCUCAUCAUGGAGAGCACCGGGAUGAUGAAGAUGGCCACCGGAGAGGGAUUUCCCCUCCGGUAGGGUGCCAGAACGGGUCUAGAUUGGCUUUCGGUGGCUACGGAGGCUUCUGGCAGCGGAACUCUAGAUCUAUUGUGUUCCCCGAUGUUUUUAGGGUAUAUGGAGAUAUAUAGGCGGAAGAAGUACGUCAGGGGGGGCCACGAGGGGCCCACGAGGGUGGAGGGCGCGCCUAGGGGGGGUGGGCGCGCCCCCUGCCUUGUGGCUUCCUCGUAGAUCCCCUGACGUGCACUCCAAGUCUUCUGGGCUUCCUCUGAUCCAAAAAUAAGUUCCGUGAAGUUUCAGGUCAACUGCACUCCGUUUGGUUUUCCUUUUCUGCGAUAUUCUAAAACUAGGUAAAAAAAAGAAACUGGCACUGGGCUCCGGAUAAAUAGGUUAGUCCCCAAAAUCAUAUAAAAUAGCAUAUAAAUGCAUAUAAAACAUCCAAGGUUGAUAAUAUAAUAUCAUGGAACAAUAAAAAAUUAUAGAUACGUUGGAGACGUAUCAAACCCCCAAUCUAGGUUUAUUUCUAGGGGUUUCUAUAUUUAUAGGAAUUUUUGGCGUCGAGAACAAGUCAGGGGGGUCCACGAGUCAACCACAAGGUCGGAGGGCGUGCCCUAGGGGGUUGGGCACGCCCUCCACCCUUGUGGAGGCCUCGUGGCUCUUCUGGCCCAACUCUUUUGCUUCGGGGGCUUCUUCUGGUCCAUAAAAAAUCACUGUAAAUUUUCAGGUCAUUUGGACUCCGUUUGAUAUUCCUUUUCUGUAAAACUCAAAAACAAUGAAAAACAGAAACUGGCACUUGGCUCUAGGUUAAUAGGUUAGUCCAAAAAAUCAUAUAAAAUAGCAUAUAAAUGCAUAUAAAAUAUCCAAGAUUGAUAAUAUAAUAGCAUGGAACAAUCAAAAAUUAUACAUACAUUGGAGACGUGUGAUUCAUACUUUCACUAGUGCAACCUCCCAACUUUGCUAACAUAAUUGAAUGAUAUAACAAUCCCUAAACGUGCGACAAAGAAUCACUCCAAAGUUCUAAUCAAUAGAGAGAACAUAUGAUGAAAUUGUUGAAGGUAGUAAACCACCUCAAAAUUAUCCUUUCCGAUCAAUCUAUUGAGUCAUCCAUAUAAGUGACACAAACAACCCUAUAGUUCGUACUAAAAUAACACCAUAUGGUACGCAUCAAUCAGCUCUAAUGUCACCUAAAUACUCCAAUGUCACCACAAGUGUCCGUGAGUCAAUUAUUCGAUAUGCAUAAAAAAAUUCAGAUUCAUAAUAUUCAAUCCAGCACAAAGGACUUCAAAGAGUACCCCAAAGUUUCUAUCGGAGAAAGCCGGAUGAAAAUGUGUAUCAACCUAUGUGCCUAGAUUACCAAUGUCACCACCGGAAUCCACAGGUUGAUUACCAAAACAUAUAUCAAGCGACUCAAUAGAAUACCCCAUUGCCACCACGGGUAUCCAGAUGUAAGACAUACAUCAAGUGUUCUUAAAUCCAAAAGAUUCAGUCAGAUAAUAAUGAAAACUCAAAGGGAAAGACUCAAUUCAUCACAACAAGAUAGAGAGGGAAGAACACCAUAUGAUUCAUCUAUAUUAACAAAGCCCAUGGUACAUCAAGAUCAUGUCGGACCAAGAAGAAAAGAGAGAGAGAGAGAGAUCAAACACAUCGCUACUGGUACAUACCCAUAGCCCCGAGGGUGAACUACUCCCUCCUCGUUAUGGAGACCGUCGGGAUGAGGAAGAUGGCCUCUAGUGAUGAUUUCCCUCUCUGGAAAGGUGUCGGAAAAGGCCUCCAUUUGAGAUCUCUUCGGAACAAAGGCUUGUGACGGUGGCAUGGAAGUUCUAGGUUUCUUUCUGGGGGUUUCCCAAUUUAUAAGAAUUUCCAGCGUUGGUUUCCCACCAAUCGGAGUUACGUGGGACCCACGAGCUUAGAGGACAUGCCCUAACCCCAGGGAACAUGGGGUGAGCUCGUGACUCCCUCGUGGAUCUUCUAAUCCUUGCUCGAAGCUUCGGGGGUCUCUUAUGUUCCAUAAAAAAUCAUUGUAAAUUUCCGUGGCAUUUGGACUUCGUUUGGUAUGGAUUUUCUGCGAAAAAAGCAAAAAAACAUGAACUAGCACUGGGCACUAGGUCAAUAGGUUAGUCUAUCGAAAUCAUAUAAAAGUGCACCAAAACCAUGUAGAGUUUAGGUAAAUGUGGCAUGAAUUCUCCAUAAAUUAUAGAUACAUUGGAGAUGUAUCAUACCGCCAACACCGUCCAAAAUGGAACCAUCUGUAUUGAGUUUGACACGUCCAAUCGCUGGGGAAGUCCAUGGGACUAAAACAGUGGGGGCAAUAUUUCAUGUGUGUGAUGUAAGGGGGUAGCAAAACUGAACCAGAGCCCUUCAUUUUAGAAGGUCAUCAUCUGAAUGAAUUGCUAUGGAUUGCAAAGAUGAUUGAUAGUUUGACAAAAACUUGACUGAGACAUCCACUAGGGGCGGGUUUGGAGUGAACGAUUCUUACGUGCCAGAUUCUCAAAAAUAACAUCAACAGUCGCGCCCUUGUAUCCUCAUCAAUUUCCCAGAUAAAUUGGAUGAACCAAUUUGACCCAGUUGGUUUGAUACUCGAUGCUUCAGGUAGAGCCUAUACAACAACCAUGGCACACCAUAAAUUUCUUGCAUUUGUGCACGUACAGAACGUAUAGAAGGAGUCUUCAUAAUCGGAACCACAGAUCGGGCACAAGAGAAUUGACUCCAGCCUCCGUCUCUUUUUGUUACACCAAGUUGCAAGGGAGUUGUUUGCUGGCGCCAUGCAAAACUCAACACCUUUGGGGGCAUUGGGCAAGUCCACAGGGCCUUCCAGCCCUCACGCCGUCCAUUCGAAAGGUGGCUGGACGUAGAUUGUUCUGGAAAUCGGUAACCGGUAGCUGCUUGGUCGGCUUGGGAGUAGUGAUUAUCGGUGAAUUGGCCUAUUAACUAGAUUAAUCGGUCGAACACGAAUAUGUAGAUAAAAUAGAACCUACCAAUAUAUAUCUGAUUUUUAUGUAUUAUACCGUAGUCUCAUGCUCUCACCUAUGUAAUAAUAUACCAAAAUAUGCUACUGUUUGGUCGAACAUUGGCUAUUGAGGAGGGAGAGAUGGAUGGGAGGGGUUACGAGCCAACAUUUUGGGCUUUGUUUGCCCAGAAGUUAAUGGGCUGGCAGCGACUAAUCUACCUAACAACCGAUUAAUUGGGUGUAGUACUGAGUCUAUCAUAGUACUCUCGUACUGUUAUUGUGUUUCAGUUUGACCUCAUGUUUAAAUUUGAACAUUUGGUAUUUUGAAAUGCCGUAAUAUGCAAUGACCAUGUGCCCUAUUUUACAUCAUCAGCUAUGGCAGAAAAUAUCUGAUACCCUAUUUCAAAACAUUUCCUACGCAAAACAAAUCAGGCGCCCUAGUAUACAUCAUCUGUUGGAGAUGCUUUAAUACCAGGAUCAUCAAUAUUCUUAUACUACCUUGAGCCCCCACGUGCAAGUAGAGAACCCAAGACUGUUAGCACUAAUAAGAAAAAAAACAUCUAUAUGCUCAGAGGCCAAAGUUUUGGGUGGUGGCAAUUGUUGAGAGGGCGAUGGCAUCAUGUCCUUUUUUAAGGUGGACAUGGCGGUCGGUAGCCUCAACCGACUCCCAGGAUGACAACUAGGUAGCUUGGCAGCCUCCCUCCUGUUUUGACGAUGUUUAAUUAGUGAAGUUUAAUUAUGUGUACUUCAAACUAUUUAGGGUGUAUUUUGGAUUUGACUCAUAUUAACUAUGGAAUGUAAUUAAGUUAAGUGUUGAGUUAAAUUUUGUGGUAUGUCAUUUGAACUAUGAGUUGUUGUUUAAUUGUUGUUUAAUACCAUGUUGUGUUCAAUUUUGUGCUAUGCAAUUUGAAAAGGAUAGAUGUGUUGGGUCCCACAUGGCAGUGGCCAAUGUGAUCGAGCUAGGUCUAGGUCCCAUGCAUCAGUGAGGGGGCUCGUAGGGGCAAAUCGGUCAAUACAACGUCUCAUUAACGGUCAAACGACUUUCAUAGGAUGAAAUCGUGACAAAAGAGCAAAAGCAUAAGUGCACGCACGAAAACUAAGGGCAAAAGAGUAGGGUGAGCACGAACUAAUGACAAGAAUGUCAUUCUCAACACCAAAAAACAAAAUGUAAGAAUGUAACAUUUUUUCCUUGUUAGACGGCUCUCAUAUUGCUCAUGUUCUAAAAUAGGCUUUUUAAUUGUAUUGCAGUGUUGCUUGUUUGAUGGAAGCUUAGGGUGUUAUCUCAUGGAUUUAUAUCUUGUUUUCUCAAACUAAAAGAAAAGUUUCCAAUUGUAGCAAACCCCUUCUAUGAGGCCCAACAACUACUACUAAUCUAUUGGCUAUUGGGCGAACCAACCUGUGGCCUAGCCCAUCAGGGUUCAAGUCCUGCUGCGUGCAUUUAUCCUGGAAUUAUUUCACAAUUUCCGGCAAUGCGUGUUCAGAGGAAGGAGACGUUCCCAUCAACUACGAGGCGUCUACGGUGGCACUAGUAGAAAAAGGGGCUUUUGUGCGGGCCUGGCCAGCCCAUUAGUCCCGGUUCUUCCACGAACCGGGACCAAUGGAUGCAUUCGUCCCAGUUCGUGAGCCCAGGGGGGCGGCUAGGGCCUCUUGGGCAUUGGUCCCGAUUCGUAUGGACCCAUUUGUCCCGGUUCCAGGCACGAACCGGGACCAAUGGGCCUCGCUCCUGGCCCACAAACAUUGGUCUCGGUUCUUGGCUCGAACCGGGACAGACGGCUGGGCUUUAGUCCCGGUUCCAGCCAUGAACGGGGACAAAUGAGUUGCCUAUAUAUACCCCGUCGCUGCAACAGAGCACUCCAUAGUGCUCAGUUUUUUCUGGCCGGCAAGGAGAGGGCAUUUGGGUGCUCUAGCUCACCUCCUAUGCACACGAGGUGUUCGAUGAAAUGCCCAAGCCACGCUAGUUAAGCUUUCUCCUCUCGAAGCUCGACCUCCAAGCUCCAUUUUCCCCGAGAUUUGUCUAGGUUUAGCGGUCAGUCACGUCCCGUCCCCGUCUUCACCGUCGUUGAUCGCCCGCGCCGAUCUCGUCGCCUGCACCACUAUGGUGAGCCUCUUAUCUUCUUCUGAAAUAAAAAUAUUCUUACUUUAGAUAGAUACUUGUCUAAUUUUCUUACUUUUAUUAUUGCGUGUGCUUAUAUAGUGCGAUGGUUUUGGUAUCCGCCCCCAUCGGCCCUCGUCCUGACUAUGAUUCGGAUGUGGUAUAUAUUAUCUUUUAUAACUAUUUGGUUCAUUUAUUGUUUAGACGUAGGGUUGUUACCUCCUUCGAGAGGGGCCCGAACUCGUAAAACCCUUGUGUUACACAUGCACGGUAGCUAGGAUCAGCCCUUGUCCGUACCCUACUUCUUACUAUCAGAAUCAUAACCAUGAUAUCAGACACCGCACCACCACCUCCAUUGAGCCGAGGAUGCCGUGCCACACUGCUAGGCUGAGGAGCAGGACGCGCAAGGCUAGAACGCGAUCAAGAAGGAGGACGAGACUGGCCUCUCGCUGAUCAAGGAGGAGGACGAGGCAAGCCCCUCAGUGAUCAUGCUUGAGUCCGAUGACAAAGAAGAAGAGUUCGAGGUGGAUAGAGAGAUUGAGUCUUCAUGGAGCUUUGGAACCAUGUCGACGACGGGGAUCAUGGUGAUGAGUAGUGCGUGCGUAGUACCGAGUUUAUCGUAGUACUUUCAUAGUGUUAUUAUGUUUAAGUUUGCACUCGUGUUUAAGUAAGAACAUUUGGUAUUUCGAAAUGUCCUAAUAUGCAAUGACCAUGUGCCCUUUUCAUCAUCUGCUAUGGCAGAAAAUAUCUGCUGGCCUAUUUUUAAAUCAUCUGAUACACAUAAAAAAUCCAGUGCCCUAAAACUUUCUUUGGAUUCCCUAUUAUACAUCAUCCGUUGGAGAUGCUCUAAUAUCGAGGUCAUCAAUAUUCUUAUACUACCUUGAGCCCCCACGUGCAAGUGGCAUAACGGAUACUGUCGGGACUGAUAAUAAGAAAAACAUCUCUAUGCUCAAAGGCCAAAGUUUUGGGUGGUAGCAACUUUUGGGACGGCAAUAGUGUCAUCUCCUUUUAUAAGGUGGACUAGGUGGUAGGAUGCCUCAUCCGGCUCCCGGGAUGACAACUUGGUGGCUUUGGAGCCUCCCUCCUGUUACGGCGAUGUAUAAUUAGUGAAGUUUAAUUAUGUGUACGUCAAACUAUUUAGGGUUGUAUUUUGGACUUGAAGGUUCAAAUCGAUUGACUCGUAUUAACUAUGAACUGGUAUAUGAUUAAGUUAAGUGUUGAGUUCAAUUUUGUGGUAUGCCAUUGGAACUAUGAGUUGUUGUUCAAUACAGUGUUAAGUUCAAUUAUGUGAUAUGCCAUUUGAAAAGGAUAGAUGUGAUGGUCAAACGGCUUUGAAAUGACGAAAUCAUGAUAAAAGAGCAAAAGAGAAGAGUGAGGACCGACUAAUGGCAAAAAUAUCAUUCUCUCAAAAAAAGGUAAGAAUGUAAAUAUUUUCUUCUUAGACGGCCCUCACAUUGCUGAUGUUCGAAAUAGGCUUCUUUUUUGCGAAAAGGGUCUGAUCUACUAUAAAGAGUAAUUAUUUUCUUCUUAGACGGCCCUCACAUUGCGCAUGUUCUAAAUAGGCUUUUAAAUUGUAUUGCAGUGUUGCUUGUUUGAUGGAAGCUAAGGGUGUUAUCUCAUGGAUUGAUAUCUUGUUUUCUAAAACUAACAGAAAAGUUGCCAAUUGAAGCAAACACCUUCUAUGAGGCCCAGAAACUACUGCUAAUCGAUUGGCUAUUGGAGUCGUAAAAACCCAUCUCAUUUUGUGCAAGAAGCUAAAGAGCUCAGCCCGUGAUUCCCACAUAUCCAUCCGUUCUCUCACUCGAGAAGAUCAAGUCACUCAGGCGCAGUGCAGUGAGACGCUUUUCAUUAUCCAUCUUUUUUUGCGGGGUAUUCAUUAUCCAUCUUGUAUGUUAACUCUUCGAUCUCCAAAGAUAGUAUAAAAAUCUCAGAGUAAUCAAUAUAGUCCUUUUAUUCCCAAAAUAGAUUCAUAUGCACCGAUAAAUGCAUGAUCUGCAGCGUAUCCAAAAAAUAUAUGAACUGGCUGUAGGAAAUAUCGACCUUCUCCAAUGAAGUUAAUUCCGCCAAAUAAGUUCAGAUACGAGGAGGAUAAGGUUUACAUUUGGCACCCGGUUUCUGAAGGUCGCAAAAUCUCCUCACAUCGUCAAAACAAAUUAAUACUCGUUCAUGCAUGGCGCGUAAUUAUUCUAGGAUAUCAAUGCGUGCAUUUCUGAUGGAUUUGUUUCACCAAUCAAUAGUGGAUUGAAACCUUGUUUCUCUCACCCCACCUCCUUACUUGCGCCUAUAAAUACACUCGUCCCGUCGACGGGAGGAGCAUACUCGCUCAUCACUCUACUGCACACAUAAGGCAGUGGUACAAUACAACGAUAGGACCUAACAAGAAACUAGCCGGUAGUUUUUGUUGUAGAGAAACUAGCUAGUGAACGCCGAGGGACGACAAAGAUGGUGGCAAGUGUUGGAAUAAGCCACGGUAUGGGUGGUGAUCAUGUGCGUAUGUGCGCGAUGAUCGAGCCAGUCGCCGGUCCGUUGCCGUGUCGCGGCCGUGGCAAGGUGUACGUAUGGGCGUACAUGUGUAUCGUGUGUGCGUGCGCGCGCAUGCAUGGAGCGUGUAGGUGCACGAGUACGUGCUUGUGUUUGCGUCAAGGUCUAGAUCGAGUCCGGACGUUGGUUUGGCCACGUUCAAGGAUAGAUUAGAGUCAAGCCAGGUUUGUAGCUAGCUCCGUUGUGUAACAACAGCGGGCGCGUGAUGGCAUCCAGGUCAAGCGGAGGAGUGGCCAGCUCACGUUGGAUGACCGGAUCGCCAGGAAGCGUACGUGGGGUGACCGCGGCGUGCGUGGGCGCUACGUUCCGGUUAGCUACAAAUACGGCUGUAUAUCGAGUCAGUUGUAACAAUUCAAGCUGGAAAAAAUCGUUGUUUGGCAGCGAGGCGUUCGUCGCCACAAAAUCUCUGUGUGCUCACUUCUUCUUCUACCUCCGUCCCUAGAGAGCUAGCUAGGGUUAGACCCAACAGCAAGGGCUAGGGUGCUGCUCGUUGCCGCCGUGGUAUGGUUUUUGGCAACCACGGCGUGCCAAGCCGCCCAGCCGGACUACGCCACCGCGCUCACCAAGUCGCUGCUCUACUUCGAGGCGCAGCGCUCCGGUAGGCUGCCGCCGACUCAGCGCGUCCAAUGGCGCGGCGACUCGGCCCUCAAGGACGGCGCCGACCACGGGGUAAGCACGUCGGCGAUGCAUGCAUCUGUAUUACUACUCCCUCCGUUUCAUAUUACUCGUCACUGAUUUAGUAUGUGUUUGGUUCGUGCAUGAUGCUGACAUGCUUGAUCCAUCGAUGUGAAGGUGGAUCUCACCGGCGGCUACUAUGACUCCGGGGACAACGUCAAGUUCGGGUUCCCCAUGGCGUUCAUGGUGACGAUGCUCUCGUGGAGCGUGGUGGAGCACCGUGACCGGCUGGCCGCGGCGGGGGAGCUGGGCCACACGCUCCAGGCAGUGCGGUGGGGCGCCGACUACCUGGCCAAGACGCACGCCCACCCCGAUGUGCUCUACGUGAAUGUCGGCGACGGCAACUCAGACCAUGCGUGCUGGGAGCGGCCGGAGGACAUGGACACACCCCGGAGGGCCCACAUGGUGAACGCCACCCACCCAGGCUCCGACGUCGCUGCCGAGACGGCGGCAGCGCUGGCCGCUGCCUCCGUCGCGUUCACGGGGCCGCACGGCGACCCCCGGUAUGCGUUGACGCUUCUGAAGCACGCGAAAUAGGUGCAUAUUUUUACUUGCUUAUUAUAUUCAGAGAGACUGCUGCAUAUUUUGAGUUUUGGCACACGUAUGCAUAUUGCAUUGCAUGCACAGCACACAGAUUACACAACGGAUGGUAAAAAAACCAUUGGUGUAAUAGUACGGGUACUAAUAAGAAAAUAGAGCGGCGCACAUAUUAACCUGCCAUUUUCAUCGCGCAGUUAUAUACAUGCACAGCACAAAUUGAACGGUUUCUGUGGCUACAAUCAAUUUGAAAAUAAUGUGAGGGAAUUUAUUCAGCAAACCAUCUCAUAAAGCCGUGGUCAUAUAGUAGCUAAAAAUGAAUGUCAAAUGAAUUAAUUAUUGCUAGGAAACUGAAGGUGGACUUGUAUUUGUGCACACAGACAGACAAAAACUGUAUCAGCUAAUUUCGUCAAUCACUUGCUUCUGCAGUUGUUUCAGUUCGCCAAGAACCACCGUGGCCUCUACCAGAACAGCAUUCCAUCGGCCAGAAGUUUCUACAGUAGCAGCGGCGAUGAGGUAGGAAGCACAUCACUAAUUAAUGUCACAAUAAUGAACAGAAAAAAUAGCAGUAUUGUAAAGCAAAUACUGAAACUUGUUUGGAACAGGACGAGCUGCUGUGGGCAGCUGUCUGGCUCUACAUCGCCACCGGCCACCAGGAGUACAAGGCCUACAUCGCCGGCGCCAACAACGUCGGCGGGGUGCGGCAGUCGUUGGGCUGGGACGACAAGUUCGUCGGAGCCCAGGCACUGGUCGCCAAGGUAAAUGUACCAGAUGAUCUUAGUAGGUUUGAUGAAGCCACAACAAUUUUUAGCUUCAGUAACUGAUGACUAUGGCGGCCAUACUGCAGCUCAUCCUCCAAGGGAAGCUGCCCAACAACGGUCGCCACGCCGAGAUGAGGAGCAACGUGGAGAGCUUCCUCUGCAACGUCCUUCAUCACGGUGACGGCCGCAGCGGGCGGCUCACCCCGGGCGGCAUGCUCUACCUGCAGCCCUGGUCUAACCUGCAGGACGUCACGACGGCGAUGUUCGUCCUCAUCACGCACGCCGACCACCUGGCGGCGGCGAGGGCUUCCCUGCAGUGCGGCGGCGUGAGGCUGCCACCGGCGCAGCUCGUCUCGUUCGCACGGUCACAGGUGGACUACAUCCUUGGCAAGAACCCAAUGAAGAUGAGCUACAUGGUUGGGGUUGGAAAGAGGUACCCGUUGCAGCCGCACCACCGCGGCGCGUCGCUGCCAUCCAUUAGGAAAUACCCGGGGAAGAUCUCCUGCGGCAAGGGAGCCGAGUACUUCCACAGGUCUGCGCCCAACUUGAAUGUGAUUGACGGCGCCAUCGUCGGAGGGCCUGACAACAACGACCAUUACGACGAUUCUCGGGGAAAUUACCAGCAAGGCGAGCCAUCGACAUACACUGUCGCGCCCAUCGUCGGAGUUAUUCCUAGGCUUCUGCAUAACUGAUGUUCCUGUUUUCAGUCAAGAGAUGUGCAAUGUCAAUGCCAUCCUUGUAAUUUUCUUAUACCGACAACAACACAGGCAUUGUUUCCUUCCAGACUUUGAAAAGAACUUCAACAUCACCAUAGUCCAACUUGACAUUUCAUUCCCUUCCAAAUUUGUAAGAAACUUCAACAUGUAGAUCUCAUCAUAUUGGCAAGAGUUCUUGUUUACACUAAGGGGUAGAGGCUUCAAGAGCAGGUAGACAUUCCCUUAUCACCUCUGCAGCUUGCUCCAGCUCCUUCUCCGACACGAUGAGCG